ACUAUAUAGGGCUGGGAAUUAUACUACUACUAUACUAUAUAGGGCUGGGAGUUAUACUACUACUAUACUAUAUAGGGCUGGGAAUUAUACUAUUAUACUAUACUAUAUAGGGCUGGGAGUUAUACUACUAUACUAUAUACUGGUACUGUAUAUAUAUAUAUAUAUAUAUAUAUAUAAAGUAUCUGAACACAUACAGCGUAUUCGGAAAGUAUUCAGACACCUACACUUUUUCCACAUUUUGUGACGUUACAGCUUUAUUCUAAAAUUGACUUUUUUCCCCACCAAUCUACCCACAAUACCCCAUAAGGACAAAGUGAAAACAGGUUUUUGAAAAAUUGUAAAGACCGGAUGCGCAGUUUAGUAGGAGUGUAGCUUUCAGAUAGUUGUUUUUACCCACCAGAGAGAGUAAAUGUCAUUCUGGUAAUCUGUCCUGUUGUAUAGUUAUUGCAUGUUAAGGUUGAAUUAAAAAAUUUUUUAGCACCAAUUAGGUUUACAGAAGUGUAUGAGCUCUCUAAAAGCCUAUGUAAAUCCAAUUCCUGGCAUACAAUAAAGUGGCAUACGUUAUAAUAAAUUUAAUAAUAUUUAAUCUUAAUAUUACAAAAUAAUGUGCAGCAUAUACAUUUAACAUGAUGAACAAGAAUGACAUUUACACUCACGGGUGGCCAAUUAGAUCUAGUUGAAAGCCAUUUCCAUAAUAAGCUACGCCUCCUGAAAAUAACCUAAGGAUUACAUUAAAAAAGACCCAGCUGCUAAGUCAACCCAGCAUGAGAGUAUAAAAUACCCGACUGAUGGUUAAAUUAACCAAUGUUUUUGGUAAUGCUAACAACCAAACUUGUUGGGUUAUUCUGGCAACCUAACUGGCUGAGUCAAAAUAACCCAGCAUGUGUUCUUUCCAGUAUUUAAUCAACUCUGGGUUACCAAAGGACACAAAUUGGGUUGUUUUUAACCCAGCAUUUUUGAGAGUGUGGUUGCAUGUAUUUCCCUCUCGAUAUUCUAAUGAGAAUACCAGUAUGUCUUACAGUGUUCUGCCUUCAAAGAAGAGAUGAGGGGUGUGUGUUUAUGUGUGUAUUUAUGUGAGAGAGAGAGAGAGAGAGAGUGAGAGAGAGAAAAAUAGAGAUUCCCUCUCUGUAUUCUUUGACUAUAGUAAUUGCCUAGGUCUGCAGGCUAGUGAGAGAAGAGACUGUCCUGUAGGGGAGGAGAGAGGAAGAGGAGGAUGAGAGGAGAGAAGAAGAUGGUAUCUCCAGGAAAAUCAUUAAGGCAGCAUGUUUUGGCUUGUAGCCAAUGUGAGGCAGAUGCAGAUAGAACCUAGUAGUCGAUGAACCAGGCAGAGAAAGGUAGAACCUAGUAGUCGAUGGACCAGGGAGAGACAGGUAGAACCUCGAAGUCGAUGAACCAGGGAGAGACAGGUAGAACAACGUAGUCGAUGAACCAGGGAGAGAAAGGUAGAACCUCGUAGUCGAUGAACCAGGGAGAGAAAGGUAGAACCUUGUAGUUGAUGAACCAGGGAGAAAAAGGUAGAACCUCGUAGUCGAUGAACCAGGAAGAGAAAGGUAGAACCUCGUAGUUGAUGAACCAGGGAGAAAAAGGUAGAACCUCGUAGUCGAUGAACCAGGAAGAGAAAGGUAGAACCUCGUAGUCGAUGAACCAGGAAGAGAAAGGUAGAACCUCGUAGUUGAUGAACCAGGGAGAAAAAGGUAGAACCCAGUAGUAUAUGGACCAGGGAGAAACAUGUAGAACCCAGUAGUACAUGAACCAGGGAGAGAAAGGUAGAACCUCGUAGUCAAUGAACCAGGGAGAGAAAGGUAGAACCUCAUAGUAUAUGGACCAGGGAGAAACAUGUAGAACCCAGUAGUAUAUGAACCAGGGAGAGAAAGGUAGAACCUCGUAGUCGAUGAACCAGGGAGAGAAAGGUAGAACCUCGUAGUCGAUGAACCAGGGAGAGACAGGUAGAACAACGUAGUCAAUGAACCAGGGAGAGAAAGGUAGAACCUCGUAGUCGAUGAACCAGGAAGAGAAAGGUAGAACCUCGUAGUCGAUGAACCAGGGAGAGAAAGGUAGAACCUCGUAGUCGAUGAACCAGGAAGAGAAAGGUAGAACCUCGUAGUCGAUGAACCAGGAAGAGAAAGGUAGAACCUCGAAGUCGAUGAACCAGGGAGAGACAGGUAGAACAACGUAGUCAAUGAACCAGGGAGAGAAAGGUAGAACCUCGUAGUCGAUGAACCACGGGAGAGAAAGGUAGAACCUAGUAGUCGAUGAACCAGGGAGAGACAGGUAGAACCUCGAAGUCGAUGAACCAGGGAGAGAAAGGUAGAACCUUGUAGUCAAUGAACCAGAGAGAGAAAGGUAGAACCUCGUAUUCGAUGAACCAGG
This 2370-nucleotide long non-coding RNA is filed under the name Salmo salar (Atlantic salmon). RNAcentral describes it as "lncRNA (ENSSSAG00000110417.1)". The record is from RNAcentral. Lineage: Eukaryota; Metazoa; Chordata; Actinopteri; Salmoniformes; Salmonidae.